This 68-nucleotide transfer RNA is filed under the name Uromyces viciae-fabae. Its description in RNAcentral is "tRNA-Arg (TCT) (tRNA-Arg-TCT-2-1)". It matches the Rfam family "tRNA". Rfam says of the family: Transfer RNA (tRNA) molecules are approximately 80 nucleotides in length. Their secondary structure includes four short double-helical elements and three loops (D, anti-codon, and T loops). The record is from RNAcentral. Lineage: Eukaryota; Fungi; Basidiomycota; Pucciniomycetes; Pucciniales; Pucciniaceae.
GCUCCCCUGGCGUAAUGGUAACGCGUUGGACUUCUAAUCCAAAGACUGUUCGAGACCCGCGGGGAGUG